RNAcentral lists this long non-coding RNA (388 nucleotides) under Nicotiana tabacum (common tobacco). RNAcentral describes it as "long non-coding RNA (NTAB_LNC000712)". Lineage: Eukaryota; Viridiplantae; Streptophyta; Magnoliopsida; Solanales; Solanaceae. The record is from RNAcentral.
UCUCCUAAGAUACCAAAAAGAAAAGACCUAGUCUGAUGAACCUUCUCCUAGGAUCAAAAUCUUAGUCUGACGAAUUUUUCUCCUAAGAUAGAGACCUAGUCUGAUGAACCUUCUUCUAGGAUCAAAAUCUUAGUCUGAUGAAUCUUUCUCCUAAGAUAACCAAAAAACGAAAAUGACCUAGUCUGAUGAACCUUCUCCUAGGAUCAAAAUCUUAGUCUGACGAAUUUUUCUCCUAAGAUAGAGACCUAGUCUGACGAACCUUCUCCUAGGAUCAAAAUCUUAGUCUGAUGAAUUUUUCUCCUAAGAUAGAGACCUAGUCUGACGAACCUUCUCCUGGGAUCAAAAUCUUAGUCUGAUGAAUCUUUCUCCUAAGAUACCAAAAAAACAA